AUUGAACGCUGGCGGCAUGCCUUACACAUGCAAGUCGAACGGCAGCAUGAUCUAGCUUGCUAGAUUGAUGGCGAGUGGCGAACGGGUGAGUAAUACAUCGGAACGUGCCCUGUAGUGGGGGAUAACUAGUCGAAAGAUUAGCUAAUACCGCAUACGACCUGAGGGUGAAAGUGGGGGACCGCAAGGCCUCAUGCUAUAGGAGUGGCCGAUGUCUGAUUAGCUAGUUGGUGAGGUAAAGGCUCACCAAGGCGACGAUCAGUAGCUGGUCUGAGAGGACGAUCAGCCACACUGGGACUGAGACACGGCCCAGACUCCUACGGGAGGCAGCAGUGGGGAAUUUUGGACAAUGGGCGAAAGCCUGAUCCAGCAAUGCCGCGUGUGUGAAGAAGGCCUUCGGGUUGUAAAGCACUUUUGUCCGGAAAGAAAUGGCUCUGGUUAAUACCUGGGGUCGAUGACGGUACCGGAAGAAUAAGGACCGGCUAACUACGUG
Molecule: ribosomal RNA, 490 nt
Filed under: uncultured bacterium
Lineage: Bacteria
Description: partial 16S ribosomal RNA
Rfam family: Bacterial small subunit ribosomal RNA
Source: RNAcentral